This is an RNA transcript of Thamnophis elegans (Western terrestrial garter snake), 2419 nucleotides long. It is a transcript of the gene named CXXC finger protein 5, with no coding region annotated. The transcript is spliced from 5 exons. NCBI's taxonomy places the organism in Eukaryota, Metazoa, Chordata, Lepidosauria, Squamata, Natricidae. The record is from RefSeq and is a predicted model, not a curated record.
GCUCCCCCUCCCGUGCUCAAAGUUAUGUGGGAAAGGGUGUCUGGUUCUUCCGAGCCCACCCAUACUGCGCUCAUCACGUCCCAGCCUUGAGGGAGGAGCCAUGCUAUUUGCAGCUUGCCCUGUAGCCUUUUGCGCGAGAGGAAGGAGAGGGUGGAAGGAAGAGAAAAUGGCUCAAGUCUUUGGGGGUCACGCGGUUACUGGAAUCUAAAGGGAUCAAGGGUCCGCCCACGUAGCCGCUAUGGAAAUAUGACAGCUGAGGAGAGUCCAGCCAAAAGCUGCCCAAGCGGUUGGCUCCUGCCUGAUUCCGGGAGGAAUCUGAAGAUUUGUGGAUGGAUUUCAUAUGGAAUAUCAUUUAAUGUGCUGAGAUAAAUAGAAGAAUAGGCCACACACCUUUCUGCUUCUGUUUACAUUUCAGGUUCAAAUACUAAGAGCUACGUGUGAUAUAUGAAACCUGCAGGAGAUGUUGUAAUGACUGUGAAAUUACACUGAGGACAGAUCUUGCUUCUUCCAUUUUUUUUUGUGAUUACUGCUCUUACUAUUGUGAUUGAUUAUUUUCUACAGUAAGUGAGCUGGUUGCUUUGUCUGGUCCUUCUGUUUAAAAAAGCGAGAGAGAAAGAUGUCUAAUCCUGACGCCCAUCAAGAUGCUGGUAUCAAGCCAGGCUUGUUGGAAAAGAGCAACAAUUCUGGUGAUUCUCAGCCCUCGAUCAAUUUGGAAAGAAGGAACAAAAGUGGGAUAAUUAGUGAACCUUUGAACAAAAGUCUUAAGAAGUCUCGGCCACUGUCCCAUUACUCUGCUUUUGGUAGCGGCAGCUCAUUAAGUGAACAUUCAGAGAAAUGUGCCCCCAUGGCCAACAGCAGUGAGGCAAUCGUGGAAAAAAGCAAUUCUACCUCAAAGCACAAAACCAUCUCUGACAUGUUGAGCAAAUCAGAUAUUUCUUUGGAAGGACAGAACAUCUUGCAACAGUUUGCUCAGUCUACAGAGUUGCUCAAAAGAGUUGUCCAGGAGCACAUCCCUCUGCCUAAUGACCAUGGGACGGGCAUCUCAGACAUAGAAGCUGUCUCAACUGCUGAAACAAUGAACAACCCAUCUGAUUUCCCUUACCUGGGGGCUUUCCCCAUCAACCCUGGCCUUUUCAUUAUGACCCCUGCUGGUGUAUUUUUGGCAGAAAGUGCACUCCAUAUGGCUGGCUUAGCAGAGUACCCAAUGCAGAAUGAAUUGGCGUCUGCCAUCAAUUCAGGGAAAAAGAAACGAAAACGAUGCGGCAUGUGUCCCCCUUGCAGAAGACGGAUAAACUGUGAGCAGUGCAGCAGUUGUAGGAACCGUAAAACUGGACAUCAGAUUUGCAAAUUCCGAAAAUGUGAAGAACUUAAAAAGAAGCCUUCUGCUGCACUGGAGGACACAGAGUCAGUGGAUUGUGGUCCCUGAUUGUUCAGAGCUGCCUGACUUCUGAUUUGCAAGAGCUGUCAUCAUCUCACAAAAGUGAUGCUUCCUACAGGUGCUGCAUUCCGAUGGUUUCAAUAGGAACAAGAAUCCCAAAGCUCUAUCCUCCAGUGCAAUGUCACUGCUUGCUUGUGUUGUCUCAGGCAAGGAAUUUUUUGACGGAAAUAAAUGGAUGCACCUAUGUCUUCUUUAGAACCAAAAAUAUUUUCUUGCAGAUUUCAUUCCUUUUUUUAAUAUAAUUUUUGGCAUUUGUUUAACAUCUUUUAAGUACUAGUAAAGCAUUAAUGUUUUCAAAUAAUUUUUUUUAAAGAAUCCAUAAAGUAUCAAGAUGUAAUAGAGUAUGGACAAUCAAUCAAUUUGUUUUCCUGUGUUUUGAUGUUGAUGUUGUUUAUGUGUGGAAGAUGCAGUUCUUGUGUAGAGAAUGUAAAUUUACAGUAACCUUUUAAAUCUAGUUACUAAUACGCACUACUGUAAUUAGCACAGCAGUUUCUUCAUUUAUCUGAUUGAUUUCCAUCAUUAAAGAAAAAUAGUGUGGCUAGUUUCUAGAAUGCCUCAAUUCAUGUUUAUAAAUGAACAUAUAUUUAAAAUAAGGUAGUUUCUUUUCCCUAAUUCUACAAAUAAGACGAGAUUUAAUCAGCAAGAUGUCUGGUCUUAUAAAAUGGAAAUAUAUUGAAAACUGGCAUUUUUUUAAAAAGAAAAGCAAAAAUAAUAAAAUUUAGAUCAAAUAAAAUUGCAUACUAUAGUAAACCCAGAACUAAUUGCAAUGAUUCACUUUUAGAGACCAUUUGGAAAUAUUGCUGGAAUUCCAAUGUAAGCUGUUGCAGAACCUGUGCUGAAAAAAUAUAGAAGUCCUUUUUUAUGUUGAAAAACCCUCAUCUCCUGCUUUCUUACCAUCUCUAAUUGAAAGCCUGUUUGUAAUGUUCUAGCAAUUCAAGCUAAGCUGUUUUGUGAAUAAAAAUGAAAGCAUGUUUUGUGUCA